GGGCCCGUAGCUCAGCCCGGCAGAGCGGCGGGCUUUUAACCCGUAGGUCCCGGGUUCAAAUCCCGGCGGGCCCGCCA
Molecule: transfer RNA, 77 nt
Filed under: Aeropyrum pernix K1
Lineage: Archaea; Thermoproteati; Thermoproteota; Thermoprotei; Acidilobales; Acidilobaceae
Also listed under: 1 other name
Description: tRNA-Lys (TTT) (tRNA-Lys-TTT-1-1)
Rfam family: tRNA
About the family: Transfer RNA (tRNA) molecules are approximately 80 nucleotides in length. Their secondary structure includes four short double-helical elements and three loops (D, anti-codon, and T loops). Further hydrogen bonds mediate the characteristic L-shaped molecular structure. tRNAs have two regions of fundamental functional importance: the anti-codon, which is responsible for specific mRNA codon recognition, and the 3' end, to which the tRNAs corresponding amino acid is attached (by aminoacyl-tRNA synthetases). tRNAs cope with the degeneracy of the genetic code in two manners: having more than one tRNA (with a specific anti-codon) for a particular amino acid; and 'wobble' base-pairing, i.e. permitting non-standard base-pairing at the 3rd anti-codon position.
Source: RNAcentral